RNAcentral lists this ribosomal RNA (493 nucleotides) under uncultured bacterium. RNAcentral's name for it is "partial 16S ribosomal RNA". It matches the Rfam family "Bacterial small subunit ribosomal RNA", at positions 30 to 523 of the family's 1533-position model. The record is from RNAcentral.
AUUGAACGCUGGCGGCAUGCUUUACACAUGCAAGUCGAACGGUAACAGGUUAAGCUGACGAGUGGCGAACGGGUGAGUAAUGCAUCGGAACGUGCCCGGUCGUGGGGGAUAACGCAGCGAAAGCUACGCUAAUACCGCAUACGAUCUAAGGAUGAAAGCGGGGGACCGUAAGGCCUCGCGCGAUCGGAGCGGCCGAUGUCAGAUUAGGUAGUUGGUGGGGUAAAGGCCCACCAAGCCAACCAUCUGUAGCUGGUCUGAGAGGACGACCAGCCACACUGGGACUGGGACACGGCCCAGACUCCUACGGGAGGCAGCAGUGGGGAAUUUUGGACAAUGGGCGAAAGCCUGAUCCAGCAAUGCAGCGUGCAGGAAGAAGGCCUUCGGGUUGUAAACUGCUUUUGUACGGAGCGAAAAGGUCUCCUCUAAUACAGGGGGCUCAUGACGGUACCGUAAGAAUAAGCACCGGCUAACUACGUGCCAGCAGCCGCCGUAA